RNAcentral lists this ribosomal RNA (253 nucleotides) under uncultured bacterium. RNAcentral's name for it is "partial 16S ribosomal RNA". It matches the Rfam family "Bacterial small subunit ribosomal RNA", at positions 524 to 776 of the family's 1533-position model. The record is from RNAcentral.
UCCGGGGGGAGCGAUCGUUGUUCGGAAUCACUGGGCGUAAAGCGUGCGCAGGCGGUUUUGUAAGUCAGGAGUGAAAUCCCGGGGCUCAACCUCGGAAUUGCUUUUGAAACUACAUGACUAGAGUAUGGUAGAGGUUGGGAGAAUUCCUAGUGUAGAGGUGAAAUUCGUAGAUAUUAGGAGGAAUACCAGUGGCGUAGGCGCCCAACUGGACCAUUACUGACGCUUAGGCACGAAAGCGUGGGGAGCAAACAGG